This 697-nucleotide long non-coding RNA is filed under the name Homo sapiens (human). Its description in RNAcentral is "HSALNT0178787". The record is from RNAcentral. Lineage: Eukaryota; Metazoa; Chordata; Mammalia; Primates; Hominidae.
GGUGACAGUGCUGGCCUAGGAGGGAAAGAAGUCUCUGGAGUUCCUGGAUCUGUAAGUUGAAGCAGAGCCCAUAGACCAGCCAGGUCCAUAGAAACGUGCAUGUCAGGUGACAGGCAUUUCUUGCCUAGAUGACUCUCAGGCAUGGUCUCUUAUUCACUCUGGACACUCCUUGUCAGGGCACAGAGCCCUUCACAUCUGCCCCUGCCAAUGUCUUCUGGAUCGUCUCCCAUCUCUCCCUAUAUGCCUCCUCAACUUCAACUCCCCAGAAUCAUAGGCAGUUCCGGCGUGCAACAUGGCUUCCUUUAGACCAGGUUCCCACCUGCUAGCCAGUCCUCAGCAACCUCUGCUGUGUGGUUUCCCUUUCUUUAAUCCUUUGCUCAAGCCUCUUGAGAUUUGAAACCUUCUUUGAAGACAUACCAUCCCCUUCCCUCCGGGCUCCCUACCCCCAAGGUUGGGCUAAAUGCCCUUACUUUGAUGGUCUGGACUGGUCAGUCCUAAGCCUCACCUAUUUACCUGAGUGGGUGGGGAUGUGUCCUAAGUAGAUAUCCCAUGUGUUUUGUGCUGUGGGUCAUAGUCAAAAUAGUCAGCAAUCCACUGAUCUUAUUUACCCUCCUGUUUAAGACGCUUCCAAGUCUUGUGUGAGGCUCAGACUGAGCCUUUAAAAUCCCCACAUUUCCCUUUUCUGGGCUGCUCUGCC